This is a long non-coding RNA of Astatotilapia calliptera (eastern happy), 1059 nucleotides long. Lineage: Eukaryota; Metazoa; Chordata; Actinopteri; Cichliformes; Cichlidae. The record is from Ensembl.
GGAGUUUGUACGUGCUUUGUCUCUAAGGGCCACCAUAAAUAUACUUUAUUUAUUCACUCCACAUAAAAUGUAAUAAAUAAAUCAUAUAAUACAAAAAACAACUAUUUACAUUUUAAACUUUUAACUAUUUAAAUUUUCAGCUUUUUAAAUUUUAAAUUUUCAGCUUUUUCCUUUUAAACAAAUUUAACGUGAAACAACACAAAACACUGCAAACCACAACACAAUUAAAUAUAAUUUAAAAUAUUAAAACAAAAAGAAGAUGCACAUUCUCUGUCAUAUGGGCCUGCAUGAUUUCUGAAUCUACUAUACCUUUCUAAUGUGACGUUGUUGUCCUGCGCUCUUUUUCUCUCUGGCUCUGUUCCUGUGCUACUGCGAGUGUAACUAACGUCCCUCCCCCCUCUGCCCAGCGCAAAGUACAGGCCGCGCAUGCGGAGUUUAGCGGAAAAAAAGGCGAGAGAGAGAGAGUGUGAGAGAAAGAAAGAAAAAAAAAAAAAAAAAAAACCUCACGGCUCCCAAUAACGAGCUGGCUCGUGUCGUUCACUUCAAAGAGUCGGCUCAAAGAGCCAUUUCGUUCGCGAACGACCCAUCACUACUAACAGUGUCGGUGAGGAAACUGUUUAAGGAACCGAGGGUGUCACGGAGUUGGCUACGGGGGACUCUACUGUCAAACACGAUAAUUUCCGUUUUCCUGUCGUUUAGAAUAAGAGAGCCAAUUUUUGACCUCACACAUGCACUCGCGAAAGCCGCACAAAGACAUAGAGGGAUCAUCAGUUAGCUUGAAAUACAUCUGUAUGUUGUCGGCAUAACAAUGAUGUGCGAUGUUAUACUUCUCAAAGAUUGAGCCUAAAGGAGCAUAUACAGUGAGAAGAGCAGGGGCCAAGGACAGAUCCUUGAGGCACGCCGCAGGAGACAGGUGCAGCAGAGGAGAGAUAAGGGCCAAAAUUGAUCGAGAAGGACCUAUUAGAGAGGUAUGACUUAAACCAAUUUAGGGCGGCACCUCCAAUGCCAAGUGUGUGUUCAAGCCUCGCUAAUAGGAUGUUAUGAUCUACCAUAUCAAAG